GCCCUCCUAGCUCAAUUGGCAGAGCAUCUGACUCUUAAUCAGAGGGUUAUUGGUUCGAGUCCAAUGGGGGGCA
RNAcentral lists this transfer RNA (73 nucleotides) under Planctomycetota bacterium. Its description in RNAcentral is "Planctomycetes bacterium (freshwater metagenome) tRNA-Lys". It matches the Rfam family "tRNA". Rfam says of the family: Transfer RNA (tRNA) molecules are approximately 80 nucleotides in length. Their secondary structure includes four short double-helical elements and three loops (D, anti-codon, and T loops). Lineage: Bacteria; Pseudomonadati; Planctomycetota. The record is from RNAcentral.